Molecule: long non-coding RNA, 1676 nt
Filed under: Anas platyrhynchos platyrhynchos (common mallard)
Lineage: Eukaryota; Metazoa; Chordata; Aves; Anseriformes; Anatidae
Description: lncRNA (ENSAPLG00000028557.1)
Source: RNAcentral
CACCAUGCACUGGUGAUAUGGAGCAAAACCAACUGGCAGGGAAGCCACGAACACAACACACCACAACACACACCUUUUCUACAGUAUUUUGGGUGCCUACCACACAGGAAACCUUGAAGAAAGCAAAACCCUAGAAGCCGCUGUUACCUCUUGUUUACAGUUUAUAUAUAUAUGAUAGAUAUGAGAUAUAGAUAUAUAUAUAUAUAAAAGGUACUGUUACUACUGUACAACCUGACUUCAUAAUGGUGCUUUUAAACAGCGGGGUGAGUCAAGACAUCAGCUUCCAUGUUGCCUUACGUGCCAGGCCUUUCCGGAGCUGCGCGGGGAGGGGGGCCGGGGCGGCCGGCGGGGCCGGGGCGGGAAGCCCCCACCCCGAGUCAUGCAAUAACCUUUUUCUGUCCCAAAAGGAAGCGCCUCCCUCGGCGGCCGCCCAGGCCCGACGUACUGGUGCUGUUCUGCGUACGUGGCCCUGAGGGUGCUGAGGUCCGGGACGCGCCGGCGCGGAGGCAGGCAGGGACGCAGGCGGAGCAGGGGGGGGGGGCGGCCGCGGGGGGGGAGCGCAGGGACUGGUGCUAAGGCGCGGGGAGGCUCGGAGAGGUCUCCGGCCCCGUCGCCGUCUCUUCCUGUAACUGUGAAAGGCACCGAGGAGGGGGGACACCUGUGCAUGGGGGGGCGGGGGCCAGGCCGCCCAUCCCCUGGGACCCCCCCCUCCCCGGCUGUCGCUGGAGGGCCGCCGGCAGCUCGGUGCGGGGUGCUGGUAAUUCGCAGCGAGCCGCGCUGGUGGCGAGCGGGCACCCGUGGGUGCCGCGGGGUGCUUGGAGAGGUGCUAGGACCCACAGCGGUGGGGGCAGGUGGAGGGGGCGCCCCGGCCCCCCCCUCCCGGCUCCCUCCACAUGGUGCUAGGAGGGGCUCCUGGGCCCCUGUUGUCGGUGUGUGGCGGCAGGCACGGGUGGCACCAGGCUGAGGUGCCCUGCGGCACCAUUGGCGAGCCUUGCACGGCCCCGCAGCACAGGGUGCAAACCUUGCACGGCCCCGUAGCUCUGUGUGCCCGUCCUGCAUCGUGCUGCAGAACCAGCUGCGAGCCCUGCGUGGCCCCGUUUGGGGGUCCCACACGGCCCCGCAGCACGGGGUGCGCGCAUGGCACGGCCCCGCAGCGCUGCUCUCGGCUCCUGCACGGCCCUGCAGCGGUGCCUGCGGCUUGUGCAAGCCCUGCACGACCCUGCAGCGCCGGGCACGAGCCCCGUGUGCCCCGGCAGCGCCGCUCGGGGGUCCCUGCGGACCCCACGGUGCGUUCCCCGGGACCCGCUCACCCCAUGGCACCUCCCGUGGGUCCGGUCCCCGGCGCGGCACCGAGCACAAGUCGCGCGCAGCUCCCGGCCCCGCCGCAGCGCGGGGGCUCCUCCGCCCACCCCGGGCGCCCGUGCCUGGGCCGCCCGGGCUGGGCAGAGGGGCCGGGGCCGGUGCCGGUGCCGGCGGAACGCAGGUUCCUGCCGCGGCACAACUGGAAGGCGCCGGGGCUGCUCGGGGCCGCUCGGGGCACCGGCACCCCUUUGGUGGCCGCCGGGUCUCCGUGGGGCCGUGGGGAUGCGUGGGGAAAGAGUUCAGUUUUUAACGUACCCGACUCACGUCUUUUUUUAAAAAAAACAAACAGACAAAAUUUUGUUGCACAGCCCUAG